RNAcentral lists this ribosomal RNA (446 nucleotides) under uncultured bacterium. RNAcentral describes it as "SSU rRNA". It matches the Rfam family "Bacterial small subunit ribosomal RNA", at positions 26 to 518 of the family's 1533-position model. The record is from RNAcentral.
AGAACGAACGCUGGCGGCAUGCCUAACACAUGCAAGUCGAACGAGACCUUCGGGUCUAGUGGCGCACGGGUGCGUAACGCGUGGGAAUCUGCCCCUUGGUUCGGAAUAACAGUGGGAAACUACUGCUAAUACCGGAUGACGACGUAAGUCCAAAGAUUUAUCGCCGAGGGAUGAGCCCGUGUAGGAUUAGCUAGUUGGUGAGGUAAUGGCUCACCAAGGCGACGAUCCUUAGCUGGUCUGAGAGGAUGAUCAGCCACACUGGGACUGAGACACGGCCCAGACUCCUACGGGAGGCAGCAGUGGGGAAUAUUGGACAAUGGGCGCAAGCCUGAUCCAGCAAUGCCGCGUGAGUGAUGAAGGCCUUAGGGUUGUAAAGCUCUUUUACCAGGGAUGAUAAUGACAGUACCUGGAGAAUAAGCUCCGGCUAACUCCGUGCCAGCAGCCGC